GCCGGGUGUGGUGGCUCAUGCCUGUAAUCCAAGCACUUUGGAGGCCAAGACGGGUGGAUCACCUGAGGUCGGGAGUUCAAGACCAGCCUGACCAACAUGGUGAGACCCCGUCUUAA
This is an unclassified non-coding RNA of Callithrix jacchus (white-tufted-ear marmoset), 116 nucleotides long. It matches the Rfam family "Metazoan signal recognition particle RNA". From Rfam's summary of the family: The signal recognition particle (SRP) is a universally conserved ribonucleoprotein. It is involved in the co-translational targeting of proteins to membranes. The eukaryotic SRP consists of a 300-nucleotide 7S RNA and six proteins: SRPs 72, 68, 54, 19, 14, and 9. Lineage: Eukaryota; Metazoa; Chordata; Mammalia; Primates; Cebidae. The record is from Ensembl.